AACAUCCCUCUUCCUCUCCUCCAUCCUCCAUAAAUGCUACAUUAAAAGCUUCAGAUUUCUCCUCGUGAGCUCUUUUCACGAUUCUUGUAGCUUCUCAAAUUAAUGCUCCAACCUCCCUUUGUUGUUGGGUAGUUGGAAAUUUUAAAUGCAACUCCUUCAAUGCUACCAUCGCCAGCCCUCUAUUUUUGUUGCAUAUUGGGGACUACCUUCUUUAAGACAUCUCUCUCUCUCUCUCUCGUACAUAUAUAGGAUCAUCACCACCCUCACAAAGCAUUGUCCUCACUCGUGUUUAGAGCUAGCCAGCCACUCUCACUGCCACAUAAGAAGAAUUUCAUUUUCUUCAUAUGAUCUGAAGACUACCCUUUUUAAGUUUUUGUCUUGUUAACCUGUAGAAGAACUAACAUUUUGAUCUAUGUUUAGGGUUUAUAUAUAUUUUGUUAUUGCAGAUGUGCAGAAGUACUGUUGCUAAGAGUAAACAUGGUAAUCCAUUGGAGAUCAACGGAUCCGUUUAACGGGAUAUUGGUCCGGUUCAAUAAGAAAGCCGUGCUCAAAAUGUUUCGGGCGCUGCUUUUUGAUUGAGCCGUGCCAAUAUCACGUUCCGCUGCUCCCAAGUCCUCAUAUCUCUUAUCAAGAAUGCGAAGCGCCAAACAGACCUUGCUACUUCUGAUCUCUUGUCCUGCUUCUCGGUUGGGGAUCGAAUUAAUUGAAGAUAUGUCGAACGCUAGGUCUUUAUCAUGGGGAUAUAUGGUCCUAGCAACUUAAAAUUAGUUCAUUUUAGAAGAAGGCUGCUGCAUGGGGAACUGAUCCUCCAUGGUCUUUUAUAUCUCAAAGAAGAAGGCGUCUGCGUCCUACGUACUGCAAAUAGACUUGAUUUCCUGAUCAUCUUGUUCACCUGCAUGCCUACUGUCAUUUAUAUAUGGAAAGUUGUGCAAGGAAAUCAAUUUACGUAAAUCCAUUUAUUCCUCCUUAAUUUACGUAUGUGUUUAGUUUUAAAGUUAAAAGCUUCAUGAUUAACGUAUGUCUUCCUGUACGAUGUAAUAAUGAUUUUCCAUUGAAGUAAUGACAAAGAAUAAACUAUACUCCAAAUUAUUGAGUAAA
Molecule: long non-coding RNA, 1098 nt
Organism: Juglans microcarpa x Juglans regia
Lineage: Eukaryota; Viridiplantae; Streptophyta; Magnoliopsida; Fagales; Juglandaceae
Exons: 2
Source: RefSeq, a predicted model, not a curated record